CCCAGCUUUUUGAAACCCCCUUGGAGCAAUAACCCUUAAACUCAAUCCCAUGCUUUCCAUUUCAGUAUUGAACCUUGUAGUACAAUUUCAGAGAGAUCCAUACACUUAAACACAAGUUAUUGUCAUGAUUGUUUGGAAACUAGAAACAUGCUUUUUUUUGCCCCUAAUUCCUACAUAUUUUGGGCAAUUAACCCAAAACUUAAUCCCAGCCUCCCCUUUGUUAUAUGGUACAUUGUGGUACAAUUUCAGAGAGAUCCAUACAAUUACACAUAAGUUAUUGUCUUGAAACUAGAAAAAUGCUUGUUUUGACCCCUUUUUGGCCCUUAAUUCCUAAACUUUGGCCCCAUAACCCCUAAAAUGAAUCCAAACCUUCUACUUGUGGUUUUAAACAUUGCGGUAUGAUUUCAGAGCAAUUGAAAUACUUCUGCACAAGUUAUUAUCCUGAAACUAGAAAAAUGCUUCUGUUAAGCCCCUUUUGGCCCCCUAAUUCCUAAUCGGUUGGGACCAUCAUCCCAACCUUCCUUUUGUG
RNAcentral lists this long non-coding RNA (529 nucleotides) under Mytilus galloprovincialis (Mediterranean mussel). The record is from RNAcentral. Lineage: Eukaryota; Metazoa; Mollusca; Bivalvia; Mytilida; Mytilidae.